RNAcentral lists this ribosomal RNA (282 nucleotides) under Triticum aestivum (bread wheat). RNAcentral describes it as "partial small subunit ribosomal RNA". The record is from RNAcentral. Lineage: Eukaryota; Viridiplantae; Streptophyta; Magnoliopsida; Poales; Poaceae.
AUGCACUCAAUUUUUCUAAGAACUGUAUGUGCAAGCACAACCCCCAUGUUUUGCUACGAAGAAAGUGCUAGACGCCCUGUCGACCGAAACAACGAACCCAAAACACCCGACUGCACGGCACGACAACAUCGAAACGUUGCCGGGAGGCGUUGCAACGGGAGAAAGAAUAUCCUUGAACCCACGCAUCUACACAGUUGCUUCUAUCUGGUUGUUGCACCUCUUCGAACGCAAAUCAGCAACGGCCUGCAGUCAUGUUAUCUCAUUCAGGUCUGUAGCAUUUAG